RNAcentral lists this ribosomal RNA (231 nucleotides) under uncultured Staphylococcus sp. RNAcentral's name for it is "partial 16S ribosomal RNA". It matches the Rfam family "Bacterial small subunit ribosomal RNA", at positions 109 to 334 of the family's 1533-position model. Lineage: Bacteria; Bacillati; Bacillota; Bacilli; Caryophanales; Staphylococcaceae. The record is from RNAcentral.
AGUAACACGUGGAUAACCUACCUAUAAGACUGGGAUAACUUCGGGAAACCGGAGCUAAUACCGGAUAAUAUUUUGAACCGCAUGGUUCAAAAGUGAAAGACGGUCUUGCUGUCACUUAUAGAUGGAUCCGCGCUGCAUUAGCUAGUUGGUAAGGUAACGGCUUACCAAGGCAACGAUGCAUAGCCGACCUGAGAGGGUGAUCGGCCACACUGGAACUGAGACACGGCCCAG